UACGUAGGGUGCAAGCGUUGUCCGGAAUUAUUGGGCGUAAAGAGCUCGUAGGCGGUUUGUCGCGUCGAAUGUGAAAACCCGGGGCUCAACCCCGGGCCUGCAUUCGAUACGGGCAGACUAGAGUUCGGUAGGGGAGUCUGGAAUUCCUGGUGUAGCGGUGAAAUGCGCAGAUAUCAGGAGGAACACCGGUGGCGAAGGCGGGACUCUGGGCCGAUACUGACGCUGAGGCGCGAAAGCUAGGGGAGCAAACGGG
This 253-nucleotide ribosomal RNA is filed under the name uncultured bacterium. RNAcentral describes it as "partial 16S ribosomal RNA". It matches the Rfam family "Bacterial small subunit ribosomal RNA", at positions 524 to 776 of the family's 1533-position model. The record is from RNAcentral.